CCUACGGGAGGCAGCAGUGGGGAAUCUUGCGCAAUGGGCGAAAGCCUGACGCAGCAACGCCGCGUGCGGGAAGAAGGCUUUCGGGCUGUAAACCGCUUUCAGCAGGAACGAAAAUGACGGUACCUGCAGAAGAAGGAGCGGCCAACUAUGUGCCAGCAGCCGCGGUGAUACAUAGGCUUCAAGCGUUGUCCGGAUUUAUUGGGCGUAAAGAGUUCGUAGGCGGUCGAGUAAGUCGGGUGUGAAAAUUCUGGGCUCAACCCAGAGACGCCACCCGAUACUGCUUGACUUGAGUUCGAUAGGGGAGUGGGGAAUUCCUAGUGUAGCGGUGAAAUGCGCAGAUAUUAGGAGGAACACCGGUGGCGAAGGCGCCACUCUGGAUCGAUACUGACGCUGAGGAACGAAAGCAUGGGUAGCAAACAGGAUUAGAUACCCUGGUAGUCCAUGCCGUAAACGGUGGGCACUAGGUGUGGGUUUCUAUUAACGAAAUCCGCGCCGUCGCUAACGCAUUAAGUGCCCCGCCUGGGGAGUACGGUCGCAAGACUAAAACGUUAAAUGAAUUGACGG
Molecule: ribosomal RNA, 564 nt
Filed under: uncultured bacterium
Lineage: Bacteria
Description: bacterial SSU rRNA
Rfam family: Bacterial small subunit ribosomal RNA
Source: RNAcentral